Molecule: ribosomal RNA, 301 nt
Filed under: uncultured bacterium
Lineage: Bacteria
Description: partial 16S ribosomal RNA
Rfam family: Bacterial small subunit ribosomal RNA
Source: RNAcentral
CAGUCGCCACGGUAAAACGUAGGUGGCAAGCGUUGUCCGGAAUUAUUGGGCGUAAAGGGCUCGCAGGCGGUUUCUUAAGUCUGAUGUGAAAGCCCCCGGCUCAACCGGGGAGGGUCAUUGGAAACUGGGAAACUUGAGUGCAGAAGAGGAGAGUGGAAUUCCACGUGUAGCGGUGAAAUGCGUAGAGAUGUGGAGGAACACCAGUGGCGAAGGCGACUCCCUGGUCUGUAACUGACGCUGAGGAGCGAAAGCGUGGGGAGCGAACAGGAUUAGAGACCCCCGUAGUCCCUGUCUCUUAUAC